CAGAUUCUGGCAAGAUGAAUCCCACCAGCUUGUUCCUCCUUACAUUGCUCCUCUUUCUGGUGACAGAAACAGCAGCGAGGAGACCCCGUGAAAAAUUCUCACAAGAGUCUGAAGAGAGUUCUUCUAGUGCAGCCUCUGAAGUUAUUUCAUCGGGGGAAGGCGGGGGAUCAAGUUCUUUCCAGGACGAUAACAGCUCAAGUGACAAGUCAGGGGGUUCCUCCUUUAAAAAAUCAAGCAGCAUGUUCAAGGAGACAGUCUAUGAGGAAAGGAAGAAAAAACAGAGUGGUGGUGACGGUGGUGAUGGUGACGGGAAGAGUGACUCAGAAAUAGAGCGGUCUUAUCUAAGGAGAAAGGAAAAGCAACGGCUUGCACAAGAAGUAGCUAAAUAAUGUGGCUAUGAACCAACUGACAAGUGGACAAAAGUAAUGGUUACCUGACCGCUCCCAAGGAGUUGCAUAAUCUGCAUGAAGCCUAUGGUAUCUUCAGGAUGGAGACUCCCAUGAGGUUCCAGAGACAGUUUGUGGAUUUCACUCACUUCUCCAUGUUUGUUUUUGAGAUUAAAAACCCAACAUUUGUUAAAAUACCUUCUUUCCAAUAAAAGACUACAUUUUGCAUCA
RNAcentral lists this long non-coding RNA (617 nucleotides) under Meriones unguiculatus (Mongolian gerbil). RNAcentral's name for it is "lncRNA (ENSMUGG00000020740.1)". The record is from RNAcentral. Lineage: Eukaryota; Metazoa; Chordata; Mammalia; Rodentia; Muridae.